GAUGGAGGGGGCUAGCGUUGUUCGGAAUUACUGGGCGUAAAGAGCGUGUAGGCGGUCUUUUAAGUCAGGCGUGAAAGGCCUGUGCUCAACCCGGGAACUGCGCUGGAGACUGGGAGACUAGAGUACUGUAGAGGAGAGUGGAAUUCCUAGUGUAGAGGUGAAAUUCGUAGAUAUUAGGAGGAACACCAGAGGCGAAGGCGGCUCUCUGGGCAGUAACUGACGCUGAGACGCGAAAGCGUGGGGAGCAAACAGG
RNAcentral lists this ribosomal RNA (253 nucleotides) under uncultured bacterium. RNAcentral describes it as "partial 16S ribosomal RNA". It matches the Rfam family "Bacterial small subunit ribosomal RNA", at positions 524 to 776 of the family's 1533-position model. The record is from RNAcentral.